CUGGGUGUUGCAAACAGUUAAUGCACUCAGCUGCUAACUGAAAGGUUAAAGGUUCAACUCCACCCAGA
This 68-nucleotide transfer RNA is filed under the name Loxodonta africana (African savanna elephant). It matches the Rfam family "tRNA". From Rfam's summary of the family: Transfer RNA (tRNA) molecules are approximately 80 nucleotides in length. Their secondary structure includes four short double-helical elements and three loops (D, anti-codon, and T loops). The record is from Rfam by way of RNAcentral. Lineage: Eukaryota; Metazoa; Chordata; Mammalia; Proboscidea; Elephantidae.